RNAcentral lists this long non-coding RNA (970 nucleotides) under Sus scrofa (pig). RNAcentral describes it as "lncRNA (ENSSSCG00025005534.1)". The record is from RNAcentral. Lineage: Eukaryota; Metazoa; Chordata; Mammalia; Artiodactyla; Suidae.
ACAACAGCCAAACCACGGCUAUUUCUGUCCCUUACCUUGCAGUCUUUGCAUCACAUUGGUAAUGUCCCGAGAAGCCCUCGAGGCUGUCCUGGAGGCUGCCAUGGCCCCACCUUGGCGUGGAACCAGCCCUGGAGACUCUUCGACUGACUAACGCAGUGCAGCCCUACGCCACUCCAGAAAGCAUACUUGAACUUCUCCAGAUCCACUGAGUCAUGGACAAGCCCCAGGCUCUCACAGCAGCCAGCAAGGAGAUCUCCAGAGAUCCAACCAGCUCUUUUUCGUCCUCUGCUUCAAGAUUAUCCUCUUAAAUAAACUCAGGCACCUGAAAACCAAAGAGAAAAGGGUGUAUUUCAGGUUGACAAGUCAAAGUUCCAGGAAGCUCAGUUAGCAAGCCCAGGAGGAGAGAGGAUGCAAGACUGAAAAAGAACAGCGAGCAGCAGCUGAGCCCAGCAGUAGAGGAGCUGUGCAGGUAUUAUUUCCCCAAACUGGUCAUUCCUUCACAUCCUGGCUGAACAAGUGGUUAAUCACCCCUUCACAGUCUCAGCUGAACAAAUCCGAGAGACGGCUGCACCUCACCCAGGACCCACACUCUGCACGAAGCCGUGAGGUCAGUACACUUUCAGCAAUACCCCCCAUGCCUCCAGCGCCACCCCUCCGCACUAGGACAGGUAUGAUGAUAUUUGUCACCAGUUAGUCUGACCUCCCUCUAACAGAAAUUUGUAUUUCUGGUUUACUGGAUCAAGUUCGUAGUUCCUCGCCUCUAUAGGACACUCCCCAGAAGACGCCUUCCUUCUCACUGCAAAAGGAGUUGAUGCAACAUCCUUCCCUUUUUAGACUUAAGAUCAAAUAUUUUGCUUUCAACAUUCAUGUAGACAUAUAUUUCCCAUCUUGUGAAAUUAUGAUAGUCUUGCUUUUCACAGGUACUUAAACUUAAAGGGACAGAUGAUUUGAUAAGAAAUUUCAAACACAU